AUUGAACGCUGGCGGCAGGCUUAACACAUGCAAGUCGAGCGGGCGAGGUUGCUUCGGUAACUGAGCUAGCGGCGGACGGGUGAGUAAUGCUUAGGAAUCUGCCUAUUAGUGGGGGACAACAUUCCGAAAGGGAUGCUAAUACCGCAUACGCCCUACGGGGGAAAGCAGGGGAUCUUCGGACCUUGCGCUAAUAGAUGAGCCUAAGUCAGAUUAGCUAGUUGGUGGGGUAAAGGCCUACCAAGGCGACGAUCUGUAGCGGGUCUGAGAGGAUGAUCCGCCACACUGGGACUGAGACACGGCCCAGACUCCUACGGGAGGCAGCAGUGGGGAAUAUUGGACAAUGGGCGAAAGCCUGAUCCAGCCAUGCCGCGUGUGUGAAGAAGGCCUUUUGGUUGUAAAGCACUUUAAGCGAGGAGGAGGCUACCGAGAUUAAUACUCUUGGAUAGUGGACGUUACUCGCAGAAUAAGCACCGGCUAACUCUGUGCCAGCAGCCGCGGUAAUACAGAGGGUGCGAGCGUUAAUCGGAUUUACUGGGCGUAAAGCGUGCGUAGGCGGCUUCUUAAGUCGGAUGUGAAAUCCCUGAGCUUAACUUAGGAAUUGCAUUCGAUACUGGGAAGCUAGAGUAUGGGAGAGGAUGGUAGAAUUCCAGGUGUAGCGGUGAAAUGCGUAGAGAUCUGGAGGAAUACCGAUGGCGAAGGCAGCCAUCUG
Molecule: ribosomal RNA, 709 nt
Filed under: uncultured Pseudomonadota bacterium
Lineage: Bacteria; Pseudomonadati; Pseudomonadota
Description: bacterial SSU rRNA
Rfam family: Bacterial small subunit ribosomal RNA
Source: RNAcentral